AUACCCGCAUAAUCAAAUAUCAUACACUGAAUCGUCAAUAUCAUUCAUUUAUGAUUACCAUAAUAGUGACUAUACAAGUUAUCGUCUUUAAAUCAUCUAAUUUUUUAAGAAAUUUUCAUUCUUGAUGCGCCUCCGCUUGUAAUGAUAACUAAUUAUUGCUGGAAGAUACAGUUUGUGAUCCGUGAAAUCUGAUUCGUGUCUUAACUAUAUUUGCAUCAUUCGCAAAGAAAAUAGAAAAUGGCGUUUUUGAGCUAGCUCUCCGACAUCCGAUUGGAAGAAAAAUCGUUUCCUCGUGAAAUAUUUAACACUCAAGUAAAAUCGAACUGUCUAAAGGAAGCAGUAUUGGAAACCGCAAAUAUUCGUACUGGUGAUACUUUGCCGUUCACAAUCUUCCGGCUGGAGGUGAACUGGAAAGGCCGGGAAUUUGUUUGGUGUGAAUGUGUACAAUAUUAAGCGUACCAGUGCCGUUAUCCCCCAGCGGAGGUGGAAAAUAUCUCCGAGGGAAGAUUAACAUCCAACAUCAGUAUAAAAAGGUACAAAACUUUAAGAUGAAAGAACCUUCCGAAGAAAAGGAACUGUCUAGAAGUGUCUGGAUGUCUUCCCUGUACUUCAAUUUAUGGAUGGCAUUAUUAGACCUAGUAUUGAAGACUACCGCAGGUGAUUCAAAAUUAAUAGGAAGAAAAAAUCCCAAUGAACCCCUUCACCGUGCACAUGUCCAAAGGAGUCACAGGGUCCAGUUACGGUGGCAACGCACAGGAUCCAGUUCCGGUGGUUUGUUCCAGUGUCACGCGAAAGAUUGUUCCGGAUUUUCCCUAUGUAUUGAUGUGUAAUGUAAAUAGAAAUAUGUAUUCUUUACAUAUUUAUUGUUUUUUUUUCAUGCUAGGUUAACAUUCAAUCAGCAUCAUCCGGUUCUCGGCACUGGCUUGUUUCGAAGGCCAAAAAUAAUUACCUGCAGCUGGAGAGCAACAUAGUCGAUGGAAUGGCACAGGAAUCCAAAGACAGGUUUGAUUUUGUUCGGUGGGAACAGUAACUGGAUUCUGAAGCUGUACAAAUCGAAUACCACCAAGCUACCCUGUCCCUGCAAGCUUUGCCUUUGGCUCACCAUUCAUCCCAUGUACGUUGGAUAUACAGAAUACAUACACAGAUGGAUUUCGAAGGAGCAUCUUUUACAGCAAGCUCUUCAGUAGAAAUCUAGGACUUUCUUCGUAUUAAUGUAGGCCACACUAUUAAAUUUUAUGUAUGAAUUCGAGAAACAGGGUCGAUUUAUAUCAGGUGUGAUUUUUUUUAUUUUCAUAUUAGUAUUGAAAACAUAAGUAAUUUUCUAUUACCUUUCCAAGAAUCCUCAUUAUCAAUUUAAAUAGAACAGCAUAGAGCUAAUAUUUGUUAAAUGGCCUAAUAACAAUGAUGAUGAGAGCGACAGCGAUUUUCAUAUGUUUUCAUGACACAUACAGGCAAGGUGACGAAUGAUUUUAUGAUGGCUGGAUUUGGAUUUGGAUUUCAAUACUCAAAAAGUUCCCGUUUUGAUAUACUGGCGUGUCUUCGAACAACAAGAGUGCGAACCAAUUUGAACAGCCAUUGAUGCUCAAAAGUGUCCAGUAACCCAAGUACAUUAAAACUAUUCUAAUAGAAAGACGAUUGCAACUCUAUUGGUUCGUUAGCCUACCCAUAGAAAAUGGACUCUUAUUGAGAUUCUUUCGUGGCAAGAAAAACAAUGAAUUUUUGUAAUUAACAACGUAAUGUCUUUUUAAUAUUUAUCAUUGUAGGUAAUGUUGCUGAAAAAAUAUCAGUGAUCUUUUAUAGAAAAAACAAAAUUUAAUUCAGUGUCGAGAUCAAUGUAUAUAUAAGAAUGUAUCAGUUGAAAAUGUUACUAUUGAAAUAAAAUUGAUAAAAACUAACAAAUUUUUAGUUUAAGAUGUGUUUAAUUUAUGAUUAAUUAUCAAUCAUAACCCGAAUCGUCCAACCUAGGUGGUUGUGUAUCUUUUUAUUAUUAUUCAGCGAUACGUUCGAUCAUCAACAUUUUCUAAAUGGAUCAUUAGGAAAAGAUUACACGUAUCAUAUAUCCCGGGUUGCGUCCGAUUUGAAAAAAGAAAAAAGCAAAAAAAAUGAAUGGUUACUCUACUUAACGACCCGUUCGCUGUAUCGUAAAGUGCGUCCAAACGAUUCCAUUCCAUGGAAAAAAGACUAGCUUAAUCGUACAUUAAUAAUCCCAAACUAUAUAGCUUAUCUUUCGUGUGUCUUGGGAAGAAGAUAAUGGAAAUCGUUAUUGUAUAAUACUGAUUUA
This is a long non-coding RNA of Uranotaenia lowii, 2281 nucleotides long. RefSeq lists it as uncharacterized. The record is from RefSeq and is a predicted model, not a curated record. Lineage: Eukaryota; Metazoa; Arthropoda; Insecta; Diptera; Culicidae. The transcript is spliced from 3 exons.